This 542-nucleotide ribosomal RNA is filed under the name uncultured bacterium. RNAcentral's name for it is "partial 16S ribosomal RNA". It matches the Rfam family "Bacterial small subunit ribosomal RNA", at positions 355 to 895 of the family's 1533-position model. The record is from RNAcentral.
UGAGGAAUAUUGGUCAAUGGGCGAGAGCCUGAACCAGCCAAGUCGCGUGAAGGAAGACUGCCUUAUGGGUUGUAAACUUCUUUUAUACAGGAAUAAAAAGGCUUACGUGUAGGCCAUUGCAAGUACUGUAUGAAUAAGCAUCGGCUAACUCCGUGCCAGCAGCCGCGGUAAUACGGAGGAUGCGAGCGUUAUCCGGAUUUAUUGGGUUUAAAGGGUGCGCAGGCGGGCUUUUAAGUCAGCGGUGAAAUCUGGACGCUUAACGUCCAAACUGCCGCUGAAACUGGGAGUCUUGAGUAUGGAUGAAGUAGGCGGAAUUCGUUGUGUAGCGGUGACAUGCAUAGAUAUAACGAGGAACUCCGAUUGCGUAGGCAGCUUACUAAGCCAUAACUGACGCUCAUGCACGAAAGCGUGGGGAUCAAACAGGAUUAGAUACCCUGGUAGUCCACGCCGUAAAACGAUGAUUACUAGUUGUAUGCGAUAUGAUAGUAUGUGACUAAGCGAAAGCGAUAAGUAAUCCACCUGGGGAGUACGCCGGCAACGGU